This 221-nucleotide long non-coding RNA is filed under the name Homo sapiens (human). RNAcentral's name for it is "HSALNT0101327". The record is from RNAcentral. Lineage: Eukaryota; Metazoa; Chordata; Mammalia; Primates; Hominidae.
AUUCCGGCGUUUUACUCUUCUGACCAGUUUCUUCGUUUUCAUAACUCUACUUGAAGAACAUAUGAUGUUUGCCAGUGUCUGACAUUACGGACCUCACAGCUUACUGAAUCUGAAAACAGGAGAUAGAGAUGGAAAGGGACUAUUUACAAGGACUUUCAACUGCCUCCUUCACCCAUCUGGAAAGCCUCAGGAACUUGUUGCAAUAGGGACUGCCAGGUCCC